Molecule: ribosomal RNA, 301 nt
Filed under: uncultured bacterium
Lineage: Bacteria
Description: partial 16S ribosomal RNA
Rfam family: Bacterial small subunit ribosomal RNA
Source: RNAcentral
CAGCAGCCGCGGGAAUACGAAGGGGGCUAGCGUUGCUCGGAAUGACUGGGCGUAAAGGGCGCGUAGGCGGCGAUCAAAGUCAGGCGUGAAAUUCCUGGGCUCAACCUGGGGGCUGCGCUUGAUACUUGGUUGCUUGAGUGGGGAAGAGGGUCGUGGAAUUCCCAGUGUAGAGGUGAAGUUCGUAGAUAUUGGGAAGAACACCGGUGGCGAAGGCGGCGACCUGGUCCUUGACUGACGCUGAGGCGCGAAAGCGUGGGGAGCAAACAGGAUUAGAUACCCCAGUAGUCCCUGUCUCUUAUAC